GNUAUAUAAUAAUAUUAAAGUAGCGUAAUAAUUUAUCAUUUAAUUAAUGAAUAUAAUGAAGAUUUUAUGAAUUAAAUACUGUCUUUAAAAAAUAGAAUAAAAUUAAUAAUCUAGUGAAAAAUCUUAAUUAUUUUUAAAAGACGAUAAGACCCUAUAGAACUUAUUUAAAUUUUUAAAUUUACUGGGGAAGUAAAAAUAAAUACAAAAUUAUUUUUAAUAAAAAAUUACUAAUUUU
This 235-nucleotide ribosomal RNA is filed under the name Kladothrips rugosus. RNAcentral's name for it is "partial 16S ribosomal RNA". Lineage: Eukaryota; Metazoa; Arthropoda; Insecta; Thysanoptera; Phlaeothripidae. The record is from RNAcentral.